AGAGUUUGAUCCUGGCUCAGAGCGAACGCUGGCGGCAGGCCUAACACAUGCAAGUCGAGCGCCCCGCAAGGGGAGCGGCAGACGGGAGAGUAACACGUGGGAACGUACCCUUUGGUUCGGAACAACCCAGGGAAACUUGGGCUAAUACCGAAUAAGCCCUUACGGGGAAAGAUUUAUCGCCGAAGGAUCGGCCCGCGUCUGAUUAGCUAGUUGGUGAGGCAACGGCUCACCAAGGCGACGAUCAGUAGCUGGUCUGAGAGGAUGAUCAGCCUCACUGGGACUGAGACACGGCCCAGACUCCUACGGGAGGCAGCAGUGGGGAAUAUUGGACAAUGGGCGCAAGCCUGAUCCAGCCAUGCCGCGUGGGUGAUGAAGGCCCUAGGGUUGUAAAGCCCUUUCGGCGGGGAAGAUAAUGACGGUACCCGCAGAAGAAGCCCGGCUAACCUCGUGCCAGCAGCCGCGGUA
Molecule: ribosomal RNA, 465 nt
Filed under: uncultured Pseudomonadota bacterium
Lineage: Bacteria; Pseudomonadati; Pseudomonadota
Description: bacterial SSU rRNA
Rfam family: Bacterial small subunit ribosomal RNA
Source: RNAcentral